RNAcentral lists this ribosomal RNA (1232 nucleotides) under uncultured Chloroflexota bacterium. RNAcentral's name for it is "bacterial SSU rRNA". It matches the Rfam family "Bacterial small subunit ribosomal RNA", at positions 65 to 1307 of the family's 1533-position model. The record is from RNAcentral. Lineage: Bacteria; Bacillati; Chloroflexota.
AACGGACUUAUUGAGCUUCGGUUUAAUAAAUUAGUGGAGAACGGGUGAGUAACGCGUAUAUGAUCUACCUUCGGGUGGGGGAUAGUCCUUCGAAAGGGGGUUUAAUACCGCAUAUGGUGUAUUGGAUGAUGCUGAUACAUGAAAGCAGAGAUGCGCCUGGAGAUGAGUCUGCGUACCAUUAGGUAGGUGGUGGGGUAAGAGCCUACCACGGCAUAGAUGGUUAGCCGGUCUGAGAGGAUGGUCAGUCACAUUGGGACUGAAACACGGCCCAUACUCCUACGGGAGGAAGCAGCUAAUAAUCUUCCGGACUGCGCGAGAGCCUGACGGAGCGACGCCGCGUGCACGAAAAACGCCCUUUGGGUUGUAAAGUCCUUUUUAUACUGGAAAAUGUAUUCUUUUACGGAGGACUGAUGGUAAGUAUAGAAUAAGCGCCCGGCUAAUUACGUGCCAGCAGCCGCGGUAAAACGUACGGGGCGAGCGUUGUUCGGAAUUAUUGGGCAUAAAGGGCGCGUAGGCGGUCUUUCAAGUUAUGGGUGGAAAGUCUGGGCUCAACCUGGAUCGUGCCCAUAAAACUGUAGGACUAGAGUUUAGGAGAGGAUGCUGGAAUUCCUGGUGUAGGGGUGGAAUCUAUAGAUAUCAGGAGGAACACCUGUGGCGAAGGCGAGCAUCUGGCCAUAAACUGACGCUGAGGCGCGAAAGCGUGGGGAGCGAACCGGAUUAGAUACCCGGGUAGUCCACGCCGUAAACGCUGUCGGCUCGGUGUGUGGUCUCAUUACGGGACUGCGUGCCCCAGCUCACGCGGUAAGCCGACCGCCUGGGGACUACGGCCGCAAGGCUAAAACUCAAAGGAAUUGACGGGGGCCCGCACAAGCAGCGGAGCGUGUGGUUUAAUUCGACGCAACGCGAAGAACCUUACCCAGAUUUGACAUGCGACUGCAAGCGCACGGAAACGUGUGACCUGCGAGGGUGUCGCACAGGUGCUGCAUGGCUGUCGUCAGCUCGUGUCGUGAGAUGUUGGGUUAAGUCCCGCAACGAGCGCAACCCCCGCCGUCAGUUAUACGUGUCUGGCGGGACUGCCGGCUGUUUGGUCGGAGGAAGGCGGGGAUGACGUCAAGUCCGCAUGGCCCGUACGUCUGGGGCGACACACACGCUACAAUGGCCGGCACAGCACGCCGCAAACCCGCAAGGGGGAGCUAAUCGCCAACGCCGGUCCCAGUGCAGAUCGGGGGCUG